Molecule: ribosomal RNA, 253 nt
Filed under: uncultured bacterium
Lineage: Bacteria
Description: partial 16S ribosomal RNA
Rfam family: Bacterial small subunit ribosomal RNA
Source: RNAcentral
UACGGGGGGGGCAAGCGUUGUUCGGAAUUACUGGGCGUAAAGGGCUCGUAGGCGGCCAACUAAGUCAGACGUGAAAUCCCUCGGCUUAACCGGGGAACUGCGUCUGACACUGGAUGGCUUGAGAUUGGGAGAGGGAUGCGGAAUUCCAGGUGUAGCGGUGAAAUGCGUAGAUAUCUGGAGGAACACCGGUGGCGAAGGCGGCAUCCUGGACCAACACUGACGCUGAGGAGCGAAAGCCAGGGGAGCAAACGGG